AGGCCACUGCUAUCGGAGUUCGAUUAAGCCAUGCUAGUCGAGAGGUGUAAGACCUCGGCAUACUGCUCAGUAACACGUGGACAACCUACCCUGAAGAGGGGGAUAACCCCGGGAAACUGGUGAUAAUACCCCAUAGACUAUGGAUGCUGGAAUGCUUUGUAGUUGAAAGGUCCGCCGCUUCAGGAUGGGUCUGCGGCCGAUUAGGUUGUUGUUGGGGUAACGGCCCAACAAGCCUGUAAUCGGUACGGGUUGUGGGAGCAAGAGCCCGGAGAUGGAUUCUGAGACACGAAUCCAGGCCCUACGGGGCGCAGCAGGCGCGAAAACUUUACAAUGCGAGCAAUCGUGAUAAGGGAACUCCGAGUGCCUGUAAAAUCAGGCUGUCCGCCAGUGUAAAUAACUGGUGAAGAAAGGGCCGGGCAAGACCGGUGCCAGCCGCCGCGGUAAUACCGGCGGCUCGAGUGGUGGCCACUAUUACUGGGCUUAAAGCGUUCGUAGCUGGUCUGUUAAGUCUCUGGGGAAAUCUUCCGGCUUAACCGGAAGGCGUCUCAGGGAUACUGGCAGACUAGGGACCGGAAGAGGUGAGAGGUACUCCAGGGGUAGGAGUGAAAUCCUGUAAUCCUUGGGGGACCACCUGUGGCGAAGGCGUCUCACCAGGACGGCUCCGACAGUGAGGAACGAAAGCUGGGGGAGCAAACCGGAUUAGAUACCCGGGUAGUCCCAGCUGUAAACGAUGCGCGUUAGGUGUAUCGGUGACCACGAGUCACCGAGGUGCCGAAGAGAAAUCGUGAAACGCGCCGCCUGGGAAGUACGGCCGCAAGGCUGAAACUUAA
RNAcentral lists this ribosomal RNA (830 nucleotides) under uncultured archaeon. Its description in RNAcentral is "bacterial SSU rRNA". It matches the Rfam family "Archaeal small subunit ribosomal RNA", at positions 21 to 859 of the family's 1478-position model. The record is from RNAcentral.